This 253-nucleotide ribosomal RNA is filed under the name uncultured bacterium. RNAcentral describes it as "partial 16S ribosomal RNA". It matches the Rfam family "Bacterial small subunit ribosomal RNA", at positions 524 to 776 of the family's 1533-position model. The record is from RNAcentral.
UACGGAGGGUGCAAGCGUUAAUCGGAAUUACUGGGCGUAAAGCGUGCGCAGGCGGUUUGUUAAGUCCGCUGUGAAAUCCCCGAGCUCAACUUGGGAAUUGCAGUGGAUACUGGCAAGCUGGAGUAUGGUAGAGGAAGGUGGAAUUCCCGGUGUAGCAGUGAAAUGCGUAGAGAUCGGGAGGAACACCAGUGGCGAAAGCGGCCUUCUGGACCAAUACUGACGCUCAUGCACGAAAGCGUGGGGAGCAAACAGG